AGUGGACGCUGGCGGUAGGCCUAACACAUGCAAGUCGAACGGCAGCACAGUAAGAGCUUGCUCUUACGGGUGGCGAGUGGCGGACGAGUGAGGAAUACAUCGGAAUCUACUUUUUCGUGGGGGAUAACGUAGGGAAACUUACGCUAAUACCGCAUACGACCUACGGGUGAAAGCAGGGGAUCUUCGGACCUUGCGCGAUUGAAUGAGCCGAUGUCGGAUUAGCUAGUUGGCGGGGUAAAGGCCCACCAAGGCGACGAUCCGUAGCUGGUCUGAGAGGAUGAUCAGCCACACUGGAACUGAGACACGGUCCAGACUCCUACGGGAGGCAGCAGUGGGGAAUAUUGGACAAUGGGCGCAAGCCUGAUCCAGCCAUACCGCGUGGGUGAAGAAGGCCUUCGGGUUGUAAAGUCCUUUUGUUGGGAAAGAAAAGCAGCAGGUUAAUACCCCGCUGUUCUGACGGUACCCAAAGAAUAAGCACCGGCUAACUUCGUG
Molecule: ribosomal RNA, 492 nt
Filed under: uncultured bacterium
Lineage: Bacteria
Description: partial 16S ribosomal RNA
Rfam family: Bacterial small subunit ribosomal RNA
Source: RNAcentral